RNAcentral lists this small RNA (230 nucleotides) under Mesocricetus auratus (golden hamster). RNAcentral's name for it is "WT1 antisense RNA conserved region 7 (ENSMAUG00000003552.1)". The stretch from base 139 to 230 matches the Rfam family "WT1 antisense RNA conserved region 7", at positions 202 to 294 of the family's 294-position model. Lineage: Eukaryota; Metazoa; Chordata; Mammalia; Rodentia; Cricetidae. The record is from RNAcentral.
AGAAGCCCUUUGGCUAUGAGCUCCACAAUGAAAGGCACUAUCCAAUUAUUCUUGGUACCCAGCACCUGGUAAAGUAUUACAUUAUGAAAGGACAAGAGAGGAAGAAAACUAAGUAACCAGGAAGCAAAGGAGGUAGGGGAGUGGUGCUUCUAGUCCAGAGAGCACAUCUGGAAUUCCAGUCUGAGCUUACAGUUAGAACUCCUGAGCCCAGAUUCAACUUUGCAAGCAAA